GGUAAGGAAUCUGCCUGCAAUUCAGAAGACCUGGGUUCGAUCCCUGGGGCUUAUGGGAUCUCAGUUCCCUGACCAGAAAUCAAACCUGGGCCCACAGCAGUGAGUGCCAAGAUUUAACCACUAGGCCACCAGGGAAUUCCCGUCAGCCUAUUUGUUAUCCAUCCCAAAAAACAGCAGGUUACUAGGUGGCCAGAGAGGCUAUAUAGGUUUUUCAAGCUGCAUCGUUAGGGGAAAUGGGAACACCUGGACCUCUGGCUCCACCUCAACAGAUCUUCAGGUGCGGCCUGGGAACUCUUAGUUGCGGCCUGUGGGAUCAAGUUCCCUGAUCAACGAUGGAACCAGAGUUCCCUGCACUAGGCUUGCAGUUUCAGCCACUGGACCACCAGGGAGGUCCCAAGACCCGAAUUCCCUACCUUGGCAUCCAAAGCCAUUUGCAACUUGAAUUAAACUGAUUUUCUUCCGCCUCUUGUCACUUUCAACUCUCCAACACUAUUGCCCCAAAAUGCCUUUCCUUUCCUUCACACCUUCAUCAUGCCCUUCCCUCUUCUAUCUUCAAGGCUGAGCUAAAAUGUCACCUCUUCAGUGAAGCCUACCCAUUUCCCCAAUGGUUUCUUCCUUCACGUUCCAUUAUACUUAUCAC
Long non-coding RNA from Bos taurus (domestic cattle), 640 nucleotides. NCBI's taxonomy places the organism in Eukaryota, Metazoa, Chordata, Mammalia, Artiodactyla, Bovidae. The record is from Ensembl.